GCUACCAACAAAAUUUGAACUCACGCCGUCAUGUAAUGGCUCAACCACUUUCCACCAUUGUGGUAAAGGGCUAUUUGCAACCCCAUUUUUCAGAUAUUGGGUUUUAAGUUUUAGGUUUGUUAUGGGCACUCCUUUUGGGCCUAUUUCUUGUAUUUCUAAUGUGGUGGGUUGUAAUCUUACUUUGUUGUUUUGGAUUGUCUUUGAACAUUCUUAACCUUGUUUUAGCUCUCUAUUGAAUCAAAUUAUCUUGUUUGACCGAAAUAAAAAGAAGAAAUGUUGCUAAUAAGUUUGAAUAUAUGAUUUAGUAUAAGGAAAACUAAUGAAAAGAGCUUGAAAACUUUGAGUUUUAAUGAUAAGGACAAAAUAAAGGGUAAAGUGAAUAGUACCAGGAUUGACUUUUUAGUGUAAAAAUGUGGUUUUUCGUUAAAGUGAACAGUACCAGGUGCUUUUCGUUAAAGUUCCCUUUAGUAUAUUAUCGUCCAUCAAUGUGCAAUAUAUGAGCUUUCAAGUGUUCACCGAUUAAGAAGUUAGUACGAUGCUAAUUAACAACAUUUAUAUAUUAUCUUUUCAAAAACUUCACUAAAAUAAAAAUCAGUUGAGCGCUUUGAUUAUCAUUGUGAACAUUUUUUGUUUUAUCGACAACGUUGUGGUCAUCCAUUUAUUGCCACAACUAUAUUAAUUAAAUGGUUCUUUUUAGGUUUGAUUUUCGCUAAAACCGAAUUUGAACUAUAUUAUUGUUAGUUCAUUGUAAAACUAAGCCCACCCCUCCGCCUUAGUGUAGAUAAUAUUGUUUGUUAAAAAAAAAUUAUUGUAGGAGAUCAAAAUUCUAAACCAAAUUUUGUAAACCAAAUGAUGUUUAUGUUGAUGAUUGAAUUAUGAAUUAAAUAUUGAUUAGCACGCUUAUUUCUUAUUGGUGAUACAUCAUUUGGUUUACAAAUUUGGUCUCCCUAGCAUUAUCCUUGAAUUAUUAAUUAAGUGUCGAUUAACGUACUUAUUUUUUAUUAGUAACAUAUCAUUUGAUUGUAAAUUUAGUUUAAAAAUUUGGUAUCUAAAUGUGCUGAAUUGUCAAAGACUUGGGCUUGAGGUAUUUAGAUGGCUAAUUCUCAUCCAGCAAACAUAGCGAAUAACAAAGGUUAUCCAAGACAUGAAUCAUGCAUUGCAUGCACCCGAUAUGAAUAUGUGUAAGAUCUCAUUACAGACAAUGGGCAUAUUCAUUUCUAAGAUAGGAUCCAAAAAGACCACACAAAUCUUAGCGAUAAAAUUCUUGUCAUCACAAACUAGUUUGUUUACAAAAUCGACAAGCUCAUCGUUCAACAAUCAACGAUCCCCUGGCUGCUUUCCUAACUUCAAUGAUAUUGCCCCAAGGUACGUAUAGGUACAGCCAAACGACAAACAUAAAACUGAUGAACCCACAGAUUAAUUGAGAAAAUAACCUUACAUAUAUAUAAAAACUAAUGGCAAUGCAUCGCAAAAGAUUUGAUCUGGACUUGACCAAAUACCAUCACUUAAUUGCUAAGACACGCGGACGACAAAUAAAACAGCCAGGUCUUAUCUGUUUGGAAUAGUACUGGACAAAAUAUUUGCCAUCGUUCAUCAUCGUAGCUUUAUUUGUGUCGUUCAAUCCAUGUCCUCUCUUACCUAGUUGCUUGUGACUAGUUACUAUCGUAUUUAAUUAAUCGAAAUGACUCUAAGUGCAGACAAACGAAGCAAAAUAAGUUGAUGAUUAUCCGUUGAAUAUUUCAAGUUACAGAAUAUGUGUAUAUAUGUAUAUAUGUAUAUAUGGUUUUGGAUUUUAAAGAUUUUGUAGACAUGAUUUUUAUGGUAAGAUAUAAAAGAUAGACAGUUGUAUCGUUGAAAUAUAUUAUGAAGUGAAUUAUACAAAAAUAUGUGAUAAAAACGUGUGUUCCGGUUUUCUAACCCAUAUAUAUGAUUAAUAUAUGGAUAUCAGAAAAGUGGAUUACGGUUGGUCUUUUGCCUAACCAGUAUGUCUUUCAAUUGAUAAAAUAUAUGUAAACCAACAUGCCUUUUGAUAAAAGGCGUGGCUUUUGAUGAAAUCUUGUAUCUGUUAGCAAAUAGGCAUGACCUUUACAUAAAUGGUUUUGCAUGCAUCAGAUAUUGUUGGGAUGUUUGAGUAGAAACUCAUACUUAUCCAUCUCACAUUGAUGAAGUGCAGGUUUCUCACACACUUAAUAACACUUGACUUUCCUCACUCUUGACUUUCCUCACUUAAUUAAGUUAAGAAAUGGGUCGAAAUUACUUGAUUAAGACCAUGAUAAUUAUAUAUUCAAUUAUCAAAGGCUAGGGUCUUGGGCCUUAGGGUGAAUUCAAUUAAACAUUUUAAUCUUGUUUUAAUUUUAUUAAAAUAAAAUAUUUUUUGUUAAUUUAAGUCAUAUCCUUUCCUAAAGAAUAAGGCUAAUGAGAAACGGUUUGUAAGAGCAUUGACAAACAGCGGAGAAAGAGAGUCUUAAGCGACUAGAGAGAUGAAGAAAAGCAGUGAAAGCGAAGGCGGAGGUCGAAGUCAAAGAUGCUAGGUUGCGAAGUGUCUCGAUACUCCACUACAAUUGCUAGUAGCUUCUUUUCCUACAAACCAACAUGAAGAAAAUUGAGGUUCCACAUAAAACCAAUAGACGAUAUAGGGAGUAGCCUAACUUUCUUAUAAGCCCAUGCAAGGUCUCUCCUCCCAUCAGUGUCACAUCCUAGCCCGG
RNAcentral lists this long non-coding RNA (2705 nucleotides) under Malus domestica (apple). RNAcentral's name for it is "long non-coding RNA (MDOM_LNC006199)". Lineage: Eukaryota; Viridiplantae; Streptophyta; Magnoliopsida; Rosales; Rosaceae. The record is from RNAcentral.